Molecule: non-coding RNA, 547 nt
Organism: Phoenix dactylifera (date palm)
Lineage: Eukaryota; Viridiplantae; Streptophyta; Magnoliopsida; Arecales; Arecaceae
Source: RefSeq, a predicted model, not a curated record
UCUCCCUUUUUUUUUUUUCUUUCUUUUUCUUCUCCUCCUCUUCUCUUCUCCCGAUUUCUCCUUCCCCCUUUCUUCCCAUUUCUUCUCCCGUGGAGGGAGGAGGGCGAGCUCGGGAGGCUUGGGAGGAACGAGCUGCGGCCGAUGGCGCCCGGCGGCCGGCCUGCGGCGCCCACGACCACACCCGCGGCCGUGCCCGUGGUCGCGCUCGGGGCGCAUCGGCGGCCUGCGGCCGCAUCUGCAUCCUGCUGCCGGCGACCCGCGUCCCACGGCCGACGACCCGCGGCCCACGGCCGAGGCCGGCGCCUGCGAUUGCAGAUCAACCACCGGGGAUCGUUCGUCUCCUACUCCGGCGAUGCAGCCCUCUGCUCCGACGGCGUGGGUCUAACACCGGAUCCUGCCAACCGUGAAGGUUUGUGAGAGAGAGAGACGGUGGAGAAGAGGGAAGAGGAUGAUGAAAUUCCCCACCGAUCGAGGCUUGUUGUAGCCUCCGAUUGCUGGGAAAGGCGGGCGGUUGUAACCGCCCACCAUCAGGCGUUACGAACGCCUG